UACGAAGGGACCUAGCGUAGUUCGGAAUUACUGGGCUUAAAGAGUUCGUAGGUGGUUAAAAAAGUUGAUGGUGAAAUCCCAAGGCUCAACCUUGGAACUGCCAUCAAAACUUUUUAGCUAGAGUAUGAUAGAGGAAAGCGGAAUUUCUAGUGUAGAGGUGAAAUUCGUAGAUAUUAGAAAGAACACCAAAAGCGAAGGCAGCUUUCUGGAUCAUUACUGACACUGAGGAACGAAAGCAUGGGUAGCGAAGAGGAUUAGAUACCCUCGUAGUCCAUGCCGUAAACGAUGUGUGCUAGACGUUGGAAACUUAGUUUUCAGUGUCGCAGCGAAAGCAUUAAGCACACCGCCUGGGGAGUACGACCGCAAGGUUAAAACUCAAAUGAAUUGACGGGGACCCGCACAAGUAGUGGAGCAUGUGGUUUAAUUCGAAGAUACGCGCAGAACCUUACCAACACUUGACAUGUUCGUCGCGAGACCAAGAGAUUGGUUUCUUCAUUCAGUUGGACGAAACACAGGUGCUGCAUGGCUGUCGUCAGCUCGUGCCGUGAGAUGUUGGGUUAAGUCCCGCAACGAGCGCAACCCCUACCUUUAGUUGCCACCAUUUAGUUGGGCACUUUAAAGGAACUGCCAGUGAUAAGCUGGAGGAAGGUGGGGAUGACGUCAAGUCCUCAUGGCCCUUACGUGUUGGGCUACACACGUGCUACAAUGGCAUUUACAAUGGGAAGCUAAGACGCGAGUCCAAGCUAAUCCCAAAAAGAUGCCUCAGUUCGGAUUGUACUCUGUAACUCGAGUGCAUGAAGCUGGAAUUACUAGUAAUCGCGGAUCAGCGCGCCGCGGUGAAUACGUUCCCGGGUCU
RNAcentral lists this ribosomal RNA (856 nucleotides) under uncultured bacterium. RNAcentral's name for it is "SSU rRNA". It matches the Rfam family "Bacterial small subunit ribosomal RNA", at positions 524 to 1381 of the family's 1533-position model. The record is from RNAcentral.